AUUGAACGCUGGCGGCAGGCUUAACACAUGCAAGUCGAGCGAGCGGCGGACGGGUGAGUAAUGUAUGGGGACUGCCCGAUAGAGGGGGAUAACUACUGGAAACGGUGGCUAAUACCGCAUACUAUCGGAUACCCCAUAUGGGAUUAGCUAGUAGGUGGGGUAAAGGCUCACCUAGGCGACGAACGCUAGUUGGUCUGAGAGGAUGAUGAGCAGCACUGGUAGUGAGACACGGCCCAGACUCCUACGGAGGGAGCAGUGGUGAAUAUGGCACAAUGGGAGCAAGCCUGAUGCAGCCAUGCCAGGUGAAUGAAGAAGGCCUUAGGGUUGUAAAGUACUUUCUGGGGGGAGACGUUACCCGCAGGAGAAGCACCGGCUAACUCCGUGCCAGAAGCCGCGGUAAUUC
Molecule: ribosomal RNA, 403 nt
Filed under: uncultured bacterium
Lineage: Bacteria
Description: partial 16S ribosomal RNA
Rfam family: Bacterial small subunit ribosomal RNA
Source: RNAcentral